UACGAAGGGGGCUAGCGUUGCUCGGAAUCACUGGGCGUAAAGCGCACGUAGGCGGGUUCUUAAGUCAGGGGUGAAAUCCUGGAGCUCAACUCCAGAACUGCCUUUGAUACUGGGAAUCUCGAGUCCGGGAGAGGUGAGUGGAACUGCGAGUGUAGAGGUGAAAUUCGUAGAUAUUCGCAAGAACACCAGUGGCGAAGGCGGCUUCCUGGACCGGUUCUGACACUGAGGAGCGAAAGCGUGGGGAGCGAUCCGG
Molecule: ribosomal RNA, 253 nt
Filed under: uncultured bacterium
Lineage: Bacteria
Description: partial 16S ribosomal RNA
Rfam family: Bacterial small subunit ribosomal RNA
Source: RNAcentral